AGUGAACGCUGGCGGUAGGCCUAACACAUGCAAGUCGAACGGCAGCACAGUAAGAGCUUGCUCUUACGGGUGGCGAGUGGCGGACGGGUGAGGAAUACAUCGGAAUCUACUUUUUCGUGGGGGAUAACGUAGGGAAACUUACGCUAAUACCGCAUCCGACCUACGGGUGAAAGCAGGGGAUCUUCGGACCUUGCGCGAUUGAAUGAGCCGAUGUCGGAUUAGCUAGUUGGCGGGGUAAAGGCCCACCAAGGCGACGAUCCGUAGCUGGUCUGAGAGGAUGAUCAGCCACACUGGAACUGAGACACGGUCCAGACUCCUACGGGAGGCAGCAGUGGGGAAUAUUGGACAAUGGGCGCAAGCCUGAUCCAGCCAUACCGCGUGGGUGAAGAAGGCCUUCGGGUUGUAAAGCCCUUUUGUUGGGAAAGAAAAGCAGCAGGUUAAUACCCCGCUGUUCUGACGGUACCCAAAGAAUAAGCACCGGCUAACUUCGU
This 491-nucleotide ribosomal RNA is filed under the name uncultured bacterium. Its description in RNAcentral is "partial 16S ribosomal RNA". It matches the Rfam family "Bacterial small subunit ribosomal RNA", at positions 29 to 506 of the family's 1533-position model. The record is from RNAcentral.